ACUCUGGGACAAGCCCUGGAAACGGGGUCUAAUACCGGAUACUGAUCAUCUUGGGCAUCCUUGGUGAUCGAAAGCUCCGGCGGUGCAGGAUGAGCCCGCGGCCUAUCAGCUUGUUGGUGAGGUAAUGGCUCACCAAGGCGACGACGGGUAGCCGGCCUGAGAGGGCGACCGGCCACACUGGGACUGAGACACGGCCCAGACUCCUACGGGAGGCAGCAGUGGGGAAUAUUGCACAAUGGGCGAAAGCCUGAUGCAGCGACGCCGCGUGAGGGAUGACGGCCUUCGGGUUGUAAACCUCUUUCAGCAGGGAAGAAGCGAAAGUGACGGUACCUGCAGAAGAAGCGCCGGCUAACUACGUGCCAGCAGCCGCGGUAAUACGUAGGGCGCGAGCGUUGUCCGGAAUUAUUGGGCGUAAAGAGCUCGUAGGCGGCUUGUCACGUCGGUUGUGAAAGCCCGGGGCUUAACCCCGGGUCUGCAGUCGAUACGGGCAGGCUAGAGUUCGGUAGGGGAGAUCGGAAUUCCUGGUGUAGCGGUGAAAUGCGCAGAUAUCAGGAGGAACACCGGUGGCGAAGGCGGAUCUCUGGGCCGAUACUGACGCUGAGGAGCGAAAGC
Molecule: ribosomal RNA, 612 nt
Filed under: Streptomyces capillispiralis
Lineage: Bacteria; Bacillati; Actinomycetota; Actinomycetes; Kitasatosporales; Streptomycetaceae
Also listed under: 1 other name
Description: bacterial SSU rRNA
Rfam family: Bacterial small subunit ribosomal RNA
Source: RNAcentral